CACCGCGGUUAUACGAGAGGCCCAAGCUGAUAAGUGACGGCGUAAAGAGUGGUUAGGGAAAACCCCCAUACUAAAGCCGAACGCCCCCAGAGCCGUUAUACGCACCCGGAGGUGUGAAAAACCCCCACGAAAGUGGCUUUAACCCCCAGCCCCGACCCCACGACAGCUUUGACA
This 174-nucleotide ribosomal RNA is filed under the name Solivomer arenidens. RNAcentral describes it as "partial 12S rRNA". The record is from RNAcentral. Lineage: Eukaryota; Metazoa; Chordata; Actinopteri; Myctophiformes; Neoscopelidae.